RNAcentral lists this ribosomal RNA (603 nucleotides) under Tardiomyces blankii. Its description in RNAcentral is "LSU rRNA". It matches the Rfam family "Eukaryotic large subunit ribosomal RNA", at positions 37 to 666 of the family's 3401-position model. Lineage: Eukaryota; Fungi; Ascomycota; Dipodascomycetes; Dipodascales; Trichomonascaceae. The record is from RNAcentral.
UGCAUAUCAAUAAGCGGAGGAAAAGAAACCAACAGGGAUGGCUCUAGUAACGGCGAGUGAAGCAGCCAAAGCUCAAAUUUGAAAGCUCCUAACAAGGCGCAUUGUAAUUUGAAGAUGGUAUUCCGAGUUAGUCCUUUACCUCAGUUCCUUGGAACAGGACGCCAUAGAGGGUGAGAGCCCCGUGUGGUAUUGGUAGCUUUCUCAUGUGGUUUACCUUCGAAGAGUCGAGUUGUUUGGGAAUGCAGCUCUAAGUGGGUGGUAAAUUCCAUCUAAAGCUAAAUAUUGGCGAGAGACCGAUAGCGAACAAGUACUGUGAAGGAAAGAUGAAAAGAACUUUGAAAAGAGAGUGAAAAAGUACGUGAAAUUGUUGAAAGGGAAGGGAAUUGGACUAGACUUGGAUUUCUGUUAUCAGCAGUCUUUCGGGGCUGUGCACUAGCAGUUUUCUAGGCCAGGAUCUGUUUGGAGGCCAGGAUAAAACCCAAAGAAUGUGGCUCUUCGGAGUGUUAUAGCUUUGGUUGAAUACUGGCAUUCUGGACAGAGGACCGCGCUUCGUGCUAGGAUCCUGGCGUAAUAGUCCUAUUCCACCCGUCUUGAAACACGGAC